This 270-nucleotide ribosomal RNA is filed under the name uncultured bacterium. RNAcentral's name for it is "partial 16S ribosomal RNA". It matches the Rfam family "Bacterial small subunit ribosomal RNA", at positions 524 to 792 of the family's 1533-position model. The record is from RNAcentral.
UACGUAGGGGGCAAGCGUUGUCCGGAUUUAUUGGGCGUAAAGAGCGUGUAGGCGGUUUGGUAGGUCCGUUGUGAAAACUCGAGGCUCAACCUCGAGACGCCGAUGGAAACCAUCAGACUAGAGUCCGGAAGAGGAGAGUGGAAUUCCUGGUGUAGCGGUGAAAUGCGUAGAUAUGCGGAGGAACACCGAUGGCGAAGGCAAUCCCCUGGACCUGUACUGACGCUCAUGCACGAAAGCGUGGGGAGCAAACAGGAUUAGAGUACCCUGGUA